AAAGUAUUAUUACCAUUUAAAGUAUUUAUUUAUGUACUAAGAUAUUCUAUAUUUAUUAGAGUCCAUCAAUGCUCUUCUUUCAUAUUAGCCUUUGAUUUUCGUAUAAUCAAAUCUAAUGGUUUAUAUAAAUAUGGCGCAUCCAAUAAGCACAUAAUUAUUGUGCUCGUUUUAGACAUACCAUUUCCUCAAUCACCAUGUAUUAAAUAAUUUUCUAAACCAACUUUGGUUGGUUGAGUGGUAAGCUCACUCGUUCAUUUAAGCAAGUGUCGGAAUUUAAAUUUUGUCUUGUGCACGUAGUAAUUUAUUGGCCACCGCCAGACCUUUAAAUAGAGUUCAAAUCCGCGACAAAUUAGUCCAUGACCUGUCAGAUUAGGAGAUACCAUGAGAAAUAAAAAAAAAUAAUUUUCCAACAUCAAAUUUUGUUUUAUAAUUAUGAAUUAUAUUCAACUUGUUAAAUUUUAAAACACUAUGCAUCAAACAAAUAUACUAACUAAUUUUUAUUAUUAUUUAAUAAAUCUCAACUUUACUAAUUUAUUUUAAAUACUUCAAUCAUUCCAAUUAUUCUGAUUAACUCAAUAAUCAUUAAAAAUUAUUAAAACUGAAUUAAAUCAAACUUCAAUAAAAAAAAUCAAACCUCCGGCGAGCAGAUUUGGCUGCAUUUCUAGGCAAUUCAGGGACGUCUCCGGCAAGCAGAGACACUCGGAUCCAGCAGUAGCAGCGUGGCCUCAGUUAGCUCCAGUGGCGGCGACGGUGUACUCCAACGGUGGUAGUUCCGGUGAACAUGGAAGACGCAGAUCGCGGCAGUGGCGGAGCAGAGCAGGAGAAGCAACGACAGCAGCUCCGACGGACGUCCUUCGGCGAGCUCUCCCUCCCUUCGAACCAAAUGGCGGCAGCGAUGGAGCUCGGAGGCGGCAGAGGCUCCAAUCGGCCGGAGCAGCUUCCAUCCUCCUCCGUCGCAGUCCUGUUCUCCUCGGCGUCNNNU
Molecule: long non-coding RNA, 982 nt
Filed under: Arachis ipaensis
Lineage: Eukaryota; Viridiplantae; Streptophyta; Magnoliopsida; Fabales; Fabaceae
Description: long non-coding RNA (AIPA_LNC001324)
Source: RNAcentral